AAGGGCAAAUCUCCAAAAUAGCAUCUUUCUAAGUUUAUAUCACAAAAAUAGCACUCAAAAACUAAAUUGGCCAAAAUAGCAUAUUUCUAAGUUUAUCCUUUGAAAAUUUUAAUUUUUUUUAUUUUUCAAAAUUUGAAAUCUUAUCCCCAAAACCUCAUUUUUCAACUCUAAACCCUAAACCCUAAACCCUAAAAUCUAAACCCUAAACCCUAAAAUCUAAACCCUAAACCCUAAACUCUAAACCCUAAACCCUAAACCCUAAAUCCUAAACUCCACCCUU
This 280-nucleotide long non-coding RNA is filed under the name Brassica napus (rape). RNAcentral's name for it is "long non-coding RNA (BNAP_LNC024781)". Lineage: Eukaryota; Viridiplantae; Streptophyta; Magnoliopsida; Brassicales; Brassicaceae. The record is from RNAcentral.